CUGUGGACUAAGCUCAGAUAAUUGGGGGCCACUUCUCCUUUUUCUUUUUCCUCUCCGUUUUUUCUUUUCCUGGGGGAAGAUUUUUCAACCAACCCGACGAGCCAAAAUCCAGCUGGUCAGAUGACUCCGACCACACAAUCGUCGACAAAGUUCGAUGUAAGUCAUGUUUUGUCUCGCAGCGAAGUUCCACCAUACGUUUCCAGAACACGCCGCCCAGGCUUCUUCGAGUUGGGGGCGAGGGGCUCUCUGAGCCAUUAUUGGCUCCCCGCUCUCCUCAGAGGGCAGGCGUUAUGUCAUCGCU
RNAcentral lists this small RNA (301 nucleotides) under Histoplasma ohiense. RNAcentral describes it as "hypothetical lncRNA". The record is from RNAcentral. Lineage: Eukaryota; Fungi; Ascomycota; Eurotiomycetes; Onygenales; Ajellomycetaceae.